Molecule: ribosomal RNA, 253 nt
Filed under: uncultured bacterium
Lineage: Bacteria
Description: partial 16S ribosomal RNA
Rfam family: Bacterial small subunit ribosomal RNA
Source: RNAcentral
UACAGAGGGUGCAAGCGUUGUUCGGAAUUACUGGGCGUAAAGGGCGCGUAGGCGGCCCGCUAAGUCGAACGUGAAAUCCCCGAGCUCAACUCGGGAACUGCGUCCGAUACUGGUGGGCUUGAAUCCGGGAGAGGGAUGCGGAAUUCCAGGUGUAGCGGUGAAAUGCGUAGAUAUCUGGAGGAACACCGGUGGCGAAGGCGGCAUCCUGGACCGGCAUUGACGCUGAGGCGCGAAAGCUAGGGGAGCAAACGGG